AGGAUGAACGCUAGCGGGAGGCCUAAUACAUGCAAGUCGAACGGUAACAGGGUAGCAAUACCGCUGACGAGUGGCGCACGGGUGAGUAACACGUGACUAACCUACCCUCGAGUGGGGAAUAACCUGGGGAAACCCGGGCUAAUACCGCAUAAUACCCACGGGUCAAAGGAGCAAUUCGCUUGAGGAGGGGGUCGCGGCAGAUUAGUUAGUUGGCGGGGUAAUGGCCCACCAAGACGAUGAUCUGUA
Molecule: ribosomal RNA, 246 nt
Filed under: uncultured bacterium
Lineage: Bacteria
Description: partial small subunit ribosomal RNA
Rfam family: Bacterial small subunit ribosomal RNA
Source: RNAcentral